AGAGUUUGAUCCUGGCUCAGAACAAACGCUGGCGGCGUGCAUAACACAUGCAAGUCUAACGGGAAUGUCGGCUUCGGCUGGCUAGUACCGUGGCGAACGGGUGAGUAACACGUGGGUAAUCUAACCUCGAGUUUGGGAUAACCUUGCGAAAGCGGGGCUAAUACCGAAUAAGACCACGCUCUGUUUGCAGGGUGCGGUAAAAGGCGGCCUCUUCAUGAAAGCUGUCACUUGAGGAUGAGCCCGCGGCCUAUUAGCUAGUUGGUGGGGUAAUGGCCUACCAAGGCGACGAUGGGUAGCCGGCCUGAGAGGGUGUACGGCCACACUGGCACUGAGAUACGGGCCAGACUCCUACGGGAGGCAGCAGUGGGGAAUUUUGCGCAAUGGGGGAAACCCUGACGCAGCAACGCCGCGUGAGUGAUGAAGGCCUUCGGGUCGUAAAGCUCUUUUAGUGGGGAAGAAUCCCACCCGGGCUAAUACCUCGGGUGUCUGACGGUACCCACAGAAAAAGUUCCGGCUAACUACGUGCCAGCAGCCGCGGUAAUACGUAGGGAGCAAGCGUUGUUCGGAAUUAUUGGGCGUAAAGAGCGCGUAGGCGGUUCGGUAAGUCUGAUGUGAAAUCCCAGAGCUCAACUCUGGAACUGCAUUGGAUACUGCCGAGCUUGAGUGUGGGAGAGGAGAGUGGAAUUCCCAGUGUAGAGGUGAAAUUCGUAGAUAUUGGGAGGAACACCCGUGGCGAAGGCGGCUCUCUGGACCACAACUGACGCUGAGGCGCGAAAGCUAGGGUAGCAAACGGGAUUAGAUACCCCGGUAGUCCUAGCCGUAAACGAUGGGCACUAGGUGUUGGAGGUAUCGACCCCUCCAGUGCCGCAGCUAACGCAUUAAGUGCCCCGCCUGGGGAGUACGGUCGCAAGACUAAAACUUAAAGGAAUUGACGG
This 935-nucleotide ribosomal RNA is filed under the name uncultured bacterium. RNAcentral's name for it is "bacterial SSU rRNA". It matches the Rfam family "Bacterial small subunit ribosomal RNA", at positions 8 to 916 of the family's 1533-position model. The record is from RNAcentral.